GACGAACGCUGGCGGCGUGCCUAAUACAUGCAAGUCGAACGCACUCUCGUUUAGAUUGAAGGAGCUUGCUCCUGAUUGAUAAACAUUUGAGUGAGUGGCGGACGGGUGAGUAACACGUGGGUAACCUGCCCUAAAGUGGGGGAUAACAUUUGGAAACAGAUGCUAAUACCGCAUAAAACCUAACACCGCAUGGUGUAGGGUUGAAAGAUGGUUUCGGCUAUCACUUUAGGAUGGACCCGCGGUGCAUUAGUUAGUUGGUGAGGUAAAGGCUCACCAAGACCGUGAUGCAUAGCCGACCUGAGAGGGUAAUCGGCCACACUGGGACUGAGACACGGCCCAGACUCCUACGGGAGGCAGCAGUAGGGAAUCUUCCACAAUGGACGAAAGUCUGAUGGAGCAACGCCGCGUGAGUGAAGAAGGUUUUCGGAUCGUAAAACUCUAGUUGUUGGAGAAGAAUGUAUCUGAUAGUAACUGAUCGAGGUAGUGACGGUAUCCAACCAG
Molecule: ribosomal RNA, 501 nt
Filed under: uncultured bacterium
Lineage: Bacteria
Description: bacterial SSU rRNA
Rfam family: Bacterial small subunit ribosomal RNA
Source: RNAcentral